RNAcentral lists this ribosomal RNA (433 nucleotides) under uncultured bacterium. Its description in RNAcentral is "bacterial SSU rRNA". It matches the Rfam family "Bacterial small subunit ribosomal RNA", at positions 957 to 1391 of the family's 1533-position model. The record is from RNAcentral.
GAACGCGAAGAACCUUACCAUCCCUUGACAUGGCAUGUUACCUCGAGAGAUCGGGGAUCCUCUUCGGAGGCGUGCACACAGGUGCUGCAUGGCUGUCGUCAGCUCGUGUCGUGAGAUGUUGGGUUAAGUCCCGCAACGAGCGCAACCCACGUCCUUAGUUGCCAUCAUUCAGUUGGGCACUCUAGGGAGACUGCCGGUGAUAAGCCGCGAGGAAGGUGUGGAUGACGUCAAGUCCUCAUGGCCCUUACGGGAUGGGCUACACACGUGCUACAAUGGCGGUGAUAGUGGGACGCGAAGCCGCGAGGUGGAGCAAAUCCCCAAAAACCGUCUCAGUUCGGAUUGCACUCUGCAACUCGGGUGCAUGAAGGCGGAAUCGCUAGUAAUCGUGGAUCAGCACGCCACGGUGAAUACGUUCCCGGGUCUUGUACACACC